RNAcentral lists this ribosomal RNA (379 nucleotides) under uncultured cyanobacterium. RNAcentral describes it as "bacterial SSU rRNA". It matches the Rfam family "Bacterial small subunit ribosomal RNA", at positions 376 to 770 of the family's 1533-position model. The record is from RNAcentral. Lineage: Bacteria; Bacillati; Cyanobacteriota.
CGAAAGCCUGACGGAGCAAGACCGCGUGAGGGAGGAAGGCUCUUGGGUUGUAAACCUCUUUUCUCAGGGAAGAAGCACUGACGGUACCUGAGGAAUCAGCAUCGGCUAACUCCGUGCCAGCAGCCGCGGUAAUACGGAGGAUGCAAGCGUUAUCCGGAUUUAUUGGGCGUAAAGCGUCCGCAGGUGGUAGUUCAAGUCGAUUGUCAAAGGCAGUAGCUUAACUACUGAGAGGCAGUGGAAACUGAAAGACUAGAGUGCGGUAGGGGUAGAGGGAAUUCCCGGUGUAGCGGUGAAAUGCGUAGAGAUCGGGAAGAACACCAGUGGCGAAAGCGCUCUGCUAGACCGGCACUGACACUGAGGGACGAAAGCUAGGGGAGCA